GGUGAACCUGCGGAAGGAUCAUUGUCGAAACCUGCAAAGCAGAACGACCCGCGAACAUGUUUAAUAAUCACGGGAGUUGGGCACUGAUGGUGCCUUGUGCGCCCAUCGCCCGAGCUAGGGAGAACUCACUUGUGAGCUGCUCCUUGCUAAACAAACGAACCCCGGCGCGAAAAGCGUCAAGGAAUACAAAUUCAAUGUGCCCAUCCCUGUCCGGUCAUUCGGCAUGGGUGUUGGUGCCAUGUUCUAACAAUAAACGACUCUCGGCAACGGAUAUCUCGGCUCUCGCAUCGAUGAAGAACGUAGCGAAAUGCGAUACUUGGUGUGAAUUGCAGAAUCCCGUGAACCAUCGAGUCUUUGAACGCAAGUUGCGCCCGAAGCCCUUGGCUGAGGGCACGUCUGCCUGGGCGUCACGCAUCGCGUCUCCCCCACAGGAGGGGAAGGAGGAUGGCUUCCCGUGCCUCACCGGGCGCGGUUGGCCUAAAAUUGAAGCCCACGGUAUCAAGUAGCCGCGGCGAUAGGUGGUGAACAAGGCUUUUGCCGUGUAAACAACCCGUUGCGGUGUGCGGCUUGUCGGACCCUAUUUGUUUCAAACCUUUGCGACCCCAGGUCAGGCGGGGCUA
RNAcentral lists this ribosomal RNA (620 nucleotides) under Petroana montserratii. Its description in RNAcentral is "eukaryotic LSU rRNA". The stretch from base 256 to 410 matches the Rfam family "5.8S ribosomal RNA". Lineage: Eukaryota; Viridiplantae; Streptophyta; Magnoliopsida; Caryophyllales; Caryophyllaceae. The record is from RNAcentral.